This 431-nucleotide long non-coding RNA is filed under the name Helianthus annuus (common sunflower). Its description in RNAcentral is "sRNA HanXRQr2_Chr09g0404591". The record is from RNAcentral. Lineage: Eukaryota; Viridiplantae; Streptophyta; Magnoliopsida; Asterales; Asteraceae.
GCAAACAUAUUAUGUCUAACUUUCCAUGAUCUUCCUUUCCUCUGAUCAUCCCUUUCUUCUAUUCUGAUUCAUGGUGAUUAAUCAUCCCCAAGUUUGACGACAAUUUCUCACACACUGAGGGUUAACAUGUGAUCACCUGGAUAGCAGAAAUCCAAAGGAUGUCUUCUCUGUUAACAUGAUCUUAAUGGACGAAGAGAUGCUUUUGGUUAUUUGACCAUGUAAAAGGUACAUCCAUAACACGAUUAAGCCCUCAAAUCUCACAUGGACCGUCAUGUACCGAAAGCAACACAAGAUGCGCAAAAUUUUCUGAUAAGCUGCAUGUGUUAUGUUAAUGUUAAGCAAAGCUUUUAGUUAUUAUAUUAGUAUUUGAUUUAAAUGUUAGAAUAUAACCACCAUCAUUAAAUAUGAGUUAAGGUUUCAACCGAAUUUAU